This 429-nucleotide ribosomal RNA is filed under the name Acidobacteriota bacterium. RNAcentral describes it as "Acidobacteria bacterium partial 16S ribosomal RNA". It matches the Rfam family "Bacterial small subunit ribosomal RNA", at positions 355 to 776 of the family's 1533-position model. Lineage: Bacteria; Pseudomonadati; Acidobacteriota. The record is from RNAcentral.
UGGGGAAUUAUGGACAAUGGGGGAAACCCUGAUCCAGCCAUCCCGCGUGUGCGAUGAAGGCCUUCGGGUUGUAAAGCACUUUUGGCAGGAAAGAAACGUCAUGGGUUAAUACCCCGUGAAACUGACGGUACCUGCAGAAUAAGCACCGGCUAACUACGUGCCAGCAGCCGCGGUAAUACGUAGGGUGCAAGCGUUAAUCGGAAUUACUGGGCGUAAAGCGUGCGCAGGCGGUUCGGAAAGAAAGAUGUGAAAUCCCAGAGCUCAACUUUGGAACUGCAUUUUUAACUACCGGGCUAGAGUGUGUCAGAGGGAGGUGGAAUUCCGCGUGUAGCAGUGAAAUGCGUAGAUAUGCGGAGGAACACCGAUGGCGAAGGCAGCCUCCUGGGAUAACACUGACGCUCAUGCACGAAAGCGUGGGGAGCAAACAGG